CCCGAUCUAAUCUACACCGUCCAUUGCUAGAUCACCGAUCCACGAAGCGUCUUCUUCCUCCGUCACCAGAGUGGUGGUGCAGACGCGACCAGGGCAUCUCCCUCGCCGGAGUUUGAAGACUUACCUAGGAGUACUCGAUUGAAGACUUACCUAGGAGUACUAUCGUCUGCAGCUCCUGGUUCACGAAGCGGUGCGGAUCUACGGCCACGACGGAAAUUCGUCGAGGAAUUGUGGUGACGAUGCGCGCCCAAAAAGCCGAGUGACGCCGCGGCCGGCCUCCACUUGUACGGACGAUACCCUACCCUUGACCGCCAGGAUCGGGACGACGGUGGCCCCCGAUUACAGGUACGACGGAUUUCCUCUUUCCUCUCACCAGCUCCGUUAUGUGUGUCUUCGUGAAGCAUCCAGGCGAUUUUUUUUAUCUGACACAUAAUUCAUGAACCAUCCUCCCUGGCUUCAUCCUUAUGUGUGUGAUGUCUGUAAAAAGAAAACAAAAGGGAAAAUAUCAUCCCAGCUCAUCCUCGCACCCCUCGAUAUCUCUCGUUCUCUCUUAUCCUCUCCACCACCUAAAGUUUCAACCGUCCUCAUCCUCUCACAGCCGACGCCAAGCCUCUUCCUAUCUUCGAUCCCAAGCCGCCUCGUCUCUAGCCGUCCCGUGGAGCACCAGAUGAG
RNAcentral lists this long non-coding RNA (672 nucleotides) under Zea mays. RNAcentral's name for it is "long non-coding RNA NONZMAT002655". The record is from RNAcentral. Lineage: Eukaryota; Viridiplantae; Streptophyta; Magnoliopsida; Poales; Poaceae.